GGAAGUAAAAGUCGUAACAAGGUUUCCGUAGGUGAACCUGCGGAAGGAUCAUUAUCGUACAAAAUGUGUGAGGCAUGCAAGGGCUGUCGCUGACUUUUAAGUCGUGCACGCCAGAGUUGUGUCCUCUCACAUAAAAUCCAUCUCACCCAUUUGUGCACCACCGCGUGGGCAACCUUCGGGAUCAAACCGAUCCAGGGAGGGGGCUUGCGUUUUCACACAAACCCCUUUUUAAAAAGUGUAGAAUGACCCCAUUUUUGUGAUAACACGCAAUCAAUACAACUUUCAACAACGGAUCUCUUGGCUCUCGCAUCGAUGAAGAACGCAGCGAAAUGCGAUACGUAAUGUGAAUUGCAGAAUUCAGUGAAUCAUCGAAUCUUUGAACGCACCUUGCGCCCCUUGGUAUUCCGAGGGGCACACCCGUUUGAGUGUCGUGAAUAUCUCAACCUUCUCGGUUUCUUCUGGACACCGAAGUAGGCUUGGACUUUGGAGGCCUUUGCUGGCAUCUCGUCAGCUCCUCUCAAAUGAAUUAGCGGGGUCCUCUUUGCCGAUCCUCGACAUGUGAUAAGAUGUUUACCAUGUCUUGGCUUCUGGCUCUGUUGCUCUUGGGACCCGCUUCUAACCGUCUCGUUGAGACAACGUUUGAGCGUGUCUCCCUUCUCGGGAAACUCUCUCGAACCCACGAACCCUUGACCUCAAAUCGGGUGAGACUAC
RNAcentral lists this ribosomal RNA (711 nucleotides) under Lactarius sp. MCVE 1390. Its description in RNAcentral is "eukaryotic LSU rRNA". The stretch from base 278 to 431 matches the Rfam family "5.8S ribosomal RNA". The record is from RNAcentral. Lineage: Eukaryota; Fungi; Basidiomycota; Agaricomycetes; Russulales; Russulaceae.